This 500-nucleotide ribosomal RNA is filed under the name uncultured Glomus. RNAcentral describes it as "SSU rRNA". It matches the Rfam family "Eukaryotic small subunit ribosomal RNA", at positions 591 to 1092 of the family's 1831-position model. Lineage: Eukaryota; Fungi; Glomeromycota; Glomeromycetes; Glomerales; Glomeraceae. The record is from RNAcentral.
CCAAUAGCGUAUAUUAAAGUUGUUGCAGUUAAAAAGCUCGUAGUUGAAUUUCGGGAUUAGUACGCUGGUCGUGCCUUUGGUAUGUACUGGUGUUACUGAUUCCUACCUUCUGACGAACCGUCAUGUCAUUAAUUUGGUGUGGCGGGGAAUCAGGACUGUUACUUUGCAAAAAUUAGAGUGUUUAAAGCAGGCUCGCGCUUGAAUACAUUAGCAUGGAAUAAUGAAAUAGGACGUUCGAUCCUAUUUUGUUGGUUUCUAGGAUUGACGUAAUGAUUAAUAGGGAUAGUUGGGGGCAUUAGUAUUCAAUUGUCAGAGGUGAAAUUCUUGGAUUUAUUGAAGACUAACUACUGCGAAAGCAUUUGCCAAGGAUGUUUUCAUUAAUCAAGAACGAAAGUUAGGGGAUCGAAGACGAUCAGAUACCGUCGUAGUCUUAACCAUAAACUAUGCCGACUAGGGAUCGGAUGAUGUUAAUUUUUUAAUGACUCAUUCGGCGCCUUACG